AAGUCGUAACAAGGUUUCCGUAGGUGAACCUGCGGAAGGAUCAUCAAUAGUUCCAAAAAUUAUUAUACCUUCUUGUGAACUGUUUUGUUGUACGGAUGUUCAUAUGGUGUCUAUUAUUGUUGUCUGUCUUGAUGGAUGAUGAUGAUGAUAAUGAUGCCGUGUGAAUGUCUAUAUGUCAUCAUUACAAACUCUGUUUAAAAUAUAUAAAAGUCUAAUGCAGUUAAGCAUGUUGUAGUAUUUUGAACUGUUAGCAAUAACGGUGAUUUAUACGCAAUUUGUCAUUAUAAACUAAUGUCAAUACAACUUGCAGCGAUGGAUCUCUAGGCUCUG
This 330-nucleotide unclassified non-coding RNA is filed under the name fungal sp. RNAcentral's name for it is "partial internal transcribed spacer region". The stretch from base 1 to 46 matches the Rfam family "Eukaryotic small subunit ribosomal RNA", at positions 1786 to 1831 of the family's 1831-position model. The record is from RNAcentral. Lineage: Eukaryota; Fungi.